RNAcentral lists this transfer RNA (75 nucleotides) under Clostridium sp. DSM 8431. Its description in RNAcentral is "tRNA_Glu_CTC". It matches the Rfam family "tRNA". Rfam says of the family: Transfer RNA (tRNA) molecules are approximately 80 nucleotides in length. Their secondary structure includes four short double-helical elements and three loops (D, anti-codon, and T loops). Further hydrogen bonds mediate the characteristic L-shaped molecular structure. tRNAs have two regions of fundamental functional importance: the anti-codon, which is responsible for specific mRNA codon recognition, and the 3' end, to which the tRNAs corresponding amino acid is attached (by aminoacyl-tRNA synthetases). tRNAs cope with the degeneracy of the genetic code in two manners: having more than one tRNA (with a specific anti-codon) for a particular amino acid; and 'wobble' base-pairing, i.e. permitting non-standard base-pairing at the 3rd anti-codon position. The record is from RNAcentral. Lineage: Bacteria; Bacillati; Bacillota; Clostridia; Eubacteriales; Clostridiaceae.
GGUCUCUUGGUCAAGUGGUCAAGACGUCACCCUCUCACGGUGAAAUCAGGGGUUCGAUUCCCCUAGGGACUACCA